This 155-nucleotide unclassified non-coding RNA is filed under the name uncultured Helotiales. RNAcentral describes it as "sequence contains ITS1". Lineage: Eukaryota; Fungi; Ascomycota; Leotiomycetes; Helotiales. The record is from RNAcentral.
CAGAGUUCAUGCCCUCACGGGUAGAUCUCCCACCCUUGAAUAUAUACCUUUGUUGCUUUGGCGGGCCACGUCCGCGUGUCGGCUUCGGCUGGCUGUGCCCGCCAGAGGACCCAAACUCGUUUGUUUCGUGAUGUCUGAGUAUUAUAUAAUAGUUA